RNAcentral lists this ribosomal RNA (445 nucleotides) under uncultured bacterium. RNAcentral describes it as "bacterial SSU rRNA". It matches the Rfam family "Bacterial small subunit ribosomal RNA", at positions 330 to 792 of the family's 1533-position model. The record is from RNAcentral.
GCCAGACUCCUACGGGAGGCAGCAGUGGGGAAUAUUGCACAAUGGGGGAAACCCUGAUGCAGCGACGCCGCGUGAGUGAAGAAGUAUUUCGGUAUGUAAAGCUCUAUCAGCAGGGAAGAAAAUGACGGUACCUGACCAAGAAGCCCCGGCUAACUACGUGCCAGCAGCCGCGGUAAUACGUAGGGGGCAAGCGUUAUCCGGAUUUACUGGGUGUAAAGGGAGCGUAGACGGCUGUGCAAGUCAGAAGUGAAAGCCCGGGGCUCAACCCCGGGACUGCUUUUGAAACUGCGUGGCUGGAGUGCAGGAGAGGUAAGCGGAAUUCCUGGUGUAGCGGUGAAAUGCGUAGAUAUCAGGAGGAACACCAGUGGCGAAGGCGGCUUACUGGACUGUAACUGACGUUGAGGCUCGAAAGCGUGGGGAGCAAACAGGAUUAGAUACCCGAGUA